GGGCCCAUAGAUCAGUGGAUGCCUGCAUCGGGCCACUCAAGAUCGCCGCCUUCGCAAGGCGGAGGCCGCGGGUUCAAAUCCCGCUGGGUCCA
Molecule: transfer RNA, 92 nt
Filed under: Thermoplasmata archaeon
Lineage: Archaea; Methanobacteriati; Thermoplasmatota; Thermoplasmata
Also listed under: 2 other names
Description: tRNA-Ala
Rfam family: tRNA
About the family: Transfer RNA (tRNA) molecules are approximately 80 nucleotides in length. Their secondary structure includes four short double-helical elements and three loops (D, anti-codon, and T loops).
Source: RNAcentral